GAGUUUGAACCUGGCUCAGGAUGAACGCUGGCGGCGUGCUUAAUACAUGCAAGUCGAACGAAGCACCUCUCCCGUUGAUUGACCUAGCUUGCUAGAGAUUGAAACAAUUGAGGUGACUGAGUGGCGGACGGGUGAGUAACGCGUGGGUAACCUGCCUUGUACAGGGGGAUAACAGUUGGAAACGACUGCUAAUACCGCAUAAGCGCACAGUAUCGCAUGAUACAGUGUGAAAAACUCCGGUGGUACAAGAUGGACCCGCGUCUGAUUAGCUAGUUGGAGGGGUAACGGCCCACCAAGGCAACGAUCAGUAGCCGACUUGAGAGAGUGAUCGGCCACAUUGGGACUGAGACACGGCCCAAACUCCUACGGGAGGCAGCAGUAGGGAAUAUUGCACAAUGGGGGAAACCCUGAUGCAGCGACGCCGCGUGAAGGAUGAAGUAUUUCGGUAUGUAAACUUCUAUCAGCAAGGAAGAAAAUGACGGUACUUGACUAAGAAGCCCCGGCUAAAUACGUGCCAGCAGCCGCGGUAAUACGUAUGGGGCAAGCGUUAUCCGGAUUUACUGGGUGUAAAGGGAGCGUAGGCGGUACGGCAAGUCAGAAGUGAAAGCCUGGGGCUCAACCCCGGAAUUGCUUUUGAAACUGUCGAACUAGGGUGUCGGAGGGGUAAGCGGAAUUCCUAGUGUAGCGGUGAAAUGCGUAGAUAUUAGGAGGAACACCGGUGGCGAAGGCGGCUUA
This 735-nucleotide ribosomal RNA is filed under the name uncultured bacterium. Its description in RNAcentral is "bacterial SSU rRNA". It matches the Rfam family "Bacterial small subunit ribosomal RNA", at positions 9 to 728 of the family's 1533-position model. The record is from RNAcentral.